RNAcentral lists this ribosomal RNA (684 nucleotides) under uncultured bacterium. RNAcentral describes it as "bacterial SSU rRNA". It matches the Rfam family "Bacterial small subunit ribosomal RNA", at positions 1 to 713 of the family's 1533-position model. The record is from RNAcentral.
UGAGUUUGAUCCUGGCUCAGGAUGAACGCUGGCGGCAUGCCUAAUACAUGCAAGUCGAACGGAUAUCUUCGGAUAUGAGUGGCGAACGGGUGAGUAACACGUAGGGAACCUGCCUGCAUGAGCGGGAGAACUUCUGGAAACGGAAGCUGAUACCGGAUGAGCAAAGAGGAGGCAUCUUCUUUUUGGAAAAGGGGACAAGAGUCCCGCAUGCAGAUGGACCUGCGGUGCAUUAGCUGGUUGGAGAGGUAACGGCUCACCAAGGCGACGAUGCAUAGCCGGCCUGAGAGGGCGGACGGCCACACUGGGACUGAGACACGGCCCAAACUCCUACGGGAGGCAGCAGUGGGGAAUAUUGCACAAUGGGGGAAACCCUGAUGCAGCGACGCCGCGUGAGCGAAGAAGUAUCUCGGUAUGUAAAGCUCUAUCAGCAGGGAAGAAAAUGACGGUACCUGACUAAGAAGCUCCGGCUAAAUACGUGCCAGCAGCCGCGGUAACACGUAUGGAGCAAGCGUUAUCCGGAUUUACUGGGUGUAAAGGGAGCGUAGGCGGUAAGGCAAGUCUGAUGUGAAAGGCCGGGGCUCAACCCUGGGACUGCAUUGGAAACUGUUUAACUGGAGUGUCGGAGAGGCAAGUGGAAUUCCUAGUGUAGCGGUGAAAUGCGUAGAUAUUAGGAGGAACACCAGU